GCCGAGCAUCCUACGGGAGGCAGCAGUGGGAAUAUUGCACAAUGGGCGCAAGCCUGAUGCAGCCAUGCCGCGUGUAUGAAGAAGGCCUUCGGGUUGUAAAGUACUUUCAGCAGUGAGGAAGGUGGGUAUGUUAAUAGCAUACUCAUUUGACGUUAGCUGCAGAAGAAGCACCGGCUAACUCCGUGCCAGCAGCCGCGGUAAUACGGAGGGUGCGAGCGUUAAUCGGAAUUACUGGGCGUAAAGCGCAUGCAGGUGGUUUGUUAAGUCAGAUGUGAAAGCCCGGGGCUCAACCUCGGAAUUGCAUUUGAAACUGGCAAACUAGAGUACUGUAGAGGGGGUAGAAUUUCAGGUGUAGCGGUGAAAUGCGUAGAGAUCUGAAGGAAUACCGGUGGCGAAGGCGGCCCCCUGGACAGAUACUGACACUCAGAUGCGAAAGCGUGGGGAGCAAACAGGAUUAGAUACCCUGGUAG
RNAcentral lists this ribosomal RNA (470 nucleotides) under uncultured bacterium. RNAcentral describes it as "bacterial SSU rRNA". It matches the Rfam family "Bacterial small subunit ribosomal RNA", at positions 329 to 793 of the family's 1533-position model. The record is from RNAcentral.